RNAcentral lists this ribosomal RNA (253 nucleotides) under uncultured bacterium. RNAcentral's name for it is "partial 16S ribosomal RNA". It matches the Rfam family "Bacterial small subunit ribosomal RNA", at positions 524 to 776 of the family's 1533-position model. The record is from RNAcentral.
UACGUAGGGGGCAAGCGUUAUCCGGAAUUACUGGGUGUAAAGGGAGCGUAGACGGUAAUGUAAGUCUGGAGUGAAAGGCGGGGGCCCAACCCCCGGACUGCUCUGGAAACUAUGUUACUGGAGUGCAGGAGAGGUAAGCGGAAUUCCUAGUGUAGCGGUGAAAUGCGUAGAUAUUAGGAGGAACACCAGUGGCGAAGGCGGCUUACUGGACUGUAACUGACGUUGAGGCUCGAAAGCGUGGGGAGCAAACAGG